GCGCACAUGCUGCAGAUGUGCCUCCAGUUCAUUUGUCGGUGCCCACUGGAAGAUGGAGGUCCCAGAUCCACCUCUUACUUCAUUCGGUGUCUCCUCUCUCAGUCUGAUCCUGCUCCCUUUCCCUCACCUUGUCUCCAAGGUCAGCCCAGGCAAAGGGCAACCUCAGCUUUUGUUAGCCUUCAUGUUCCUGUGAGUAAGAGCAUGGUCAAGGCUCCCUGCUCAACCAAACCGAGCAUCCAUCUGUGUCCCUGAUGCAGGGGAGCACUGCAUUAGCAGCUUGCCUGGCACCUGAAACACAGUCCUGCCAUGCUACAGCUGCUGGAAAGCUUCGAACUGAGUAUGGGAGAACGUAAAAAUAAUCCACCCUACACCAAAUGUGAGCAAUAUAGGUAAAUGUGUAGGGCAGCAUCAAUGCCAAAAUGCUUUAAGGUCAAAUCCUAGCCUCUACACAGCUACCCUCUGUAGCCCACAUGAUCCUUGGAAGGACAAACCUCCUUUAGCCAAAAGAUCUAAGGUCCAUUCCUCAGGGAUCAGUGGACAUGUGGAAAGCAGCAUGGCCAGAUGCUGUGACUCUUGUAGCAACCUACUGCCUCUGGCUGGUGCUCAGAGAGGAUUAUCUUAUUGAACAAUCCAGCAUUUAUGGGGAUAAAUACUACACAUCUGUUCUACUCUCUGCAAAUCCACAGAAAAGCCAAUGUCUGACUCAAGCAAAGCUGUUAUCAGUGUGAAGGAAGCAAAUCCUUCGUCCAGAAGCUCUCCUAGGCAAGCGAAGACAUUGCUUCUCUUUGCUUGCCAUGGCUCGGGGAAGAUGAACGCUCCUCACCACACCUUCCUGAGCAAGCCACUGUGAGUCACUUCAGGUUUAUGCCUCAAGUCUCCCACAACCAGCACCAAAGAGAAGUGAUAGUGACUGAGCCAGGAGGAACACGACCAGAAACCACGCUGAAAGCAUCAUGUAAGCUUGGAAAGGAAAUAAAUGAAAUGUUCCUUGUCCCACCUCUGGGUCCAAUCAUGCUAAACAGGGCUGAGGGGUUUUCCAUGGGCACACUUGGUAACAUGUCCUGAAGCAGCUUCCAGGGAGGAAGGGGAAAGGAGAGGUCGAAUAUCAAGGAUGUAAGAGUCAAGAACAUGGGCUGUUCUACAGCUUCUUAGGAGACAGGGUCAAACUGUGGCCACUCUUGCUGUCCUCCAUGUUCAUCCCAGCAAUGCUCCUCAACAUGAGUAUUUGUCUCACAUGAGAAGAUUGAUCUACAGGAGCAAAAGAGGUUUCUCACCAAGGUUUUCAGAAAGGUACAGGAAUGCUCCCCCCUUCCUUUGCACCCUAAAAAGCUGAGCGGGAGAGGAUUGAUGGAAGCAGGUGUUGCAAUGUCUCCUAAUACAAUUAGGAGGAGGAAAGUGAGUAAGCACAAGAUAUAAACGGGGAUUUCCCGGAGGUCAGAGGACUAAGAGUCUCCUUCCUUAUCUCAACGUGGAAAGUGUUUUUGUGAAAUUGCUCAAAAGAAGAAAUCUUUGCUGUUGGAGGUUGCACCACCUCCACAGCUUUGUGACUGCCGCAUAGGGAGAUUUUCCAGCUCACUGUCAGAGAGUUGGAAAAAAGUUCUCAUGAGACAGGAGUCAAAGAGGAAUCCUUCAGAAAGCCAGUUGCAUGCAGCAGAUAUGAGGUAAGAGGAUUCUCUUACUGCUUUUAAAUUUCUUCAGUCAUCUUUCAUCAACAAAAGUGUGCUUGACCUGUCCUGGUCCACGCAGCUCACUGGGCCACUUGUAAGGUAAAAAGCUGUGCCUUCCUGAGACAGCUGGUGCUCUGGUAGAAAGUCUCUGACCUUCUCAAUAUAAUAAUAAAAACCCAGUUUUACCCCAAAGAGGAGCCUGCUGCACACCACAAAACCCCAGCAGCUGCCAGGAGAGCAUUCCCAAUUCCUGUACAAAUCUCAAUAAUCUUUCUGUGUAGCUGUUUUUAAGGGAGAGAAGAACAAAGCUGGGUUAUUCAACGAAGCUGGCACGUGUUGAAGCAAAGGGGCCUGACUUGUCCCUCUGACAAGUGCCUGCACAUCGCAGGAAUGCGACCCAGGCUCGAGGCUUUCAGCCACUUCUGCUAUCGGGUUGAGGCAAGUAGGAAGUUGCUUCUGCAAACAUCAGCCCACCCUGACCAAACACCACCAACGAAUCCGUCAGCGUCUCCAACAGUCCGUGGCUUGCAGGACAGAUCAUAAUACCACGUACGGUGCCUGUACGUGCUUGGCUGGGAGCCUGUGCAUUCGCUGGGCCACAAAGGGAAGACGGAGGAGCCGAGCAGCCAUUGCUGGUUCAGGCCAAGCAAGGGUUGGCCAUCGCAUCUGUAAUACCUUAAAGAAUGCAUAUGCUUUUUAAGGGCCUUACAAAUUUAACAAAGUUCAGAAUAAAAGGUUUGCUCUCCAGCAGGACUUUGCAGAGAUGCCCUCCCUUGAUGGCUGGGGCUGCUGUUUGUGGGGUGCAGGCAGAAGGCCAAACACUCCCCGGGGGAGGAAAAACUGCAGCGAGCACUUGAGGAGAGCCUCGAGGCUCGCAGGUUUUCCGCUGCCACGCUCCCAGGAGAGCAGGCCCAGUGCCGAGGGGUGGCAGCAGGGGGGUGGCACUGACGGGCUGGGCAGCUGCAGUCCGAGCAGCAGUGAGGAGGGCAGCGCUCAGCGUGCCACCAUGUGGGGCUUCCAGGGGGGCUCCCGGCUGCUGGCCACCAUGCUGCGGGCACCACGGGUCCCCCGGGCAGGGGUCACCUCCAAACCACCCGAACACCCGAUUUCUGCUGGGGAGCAGGCCUAUCGCGCUGGCUGCCAUGUUUACAUGCUUCCUGGCACCAACAGCAUGGGUCUUGGCACACGUGGAGCACUACAAGAGCAGAGGAGAUUAAGAAGUGGCCAGAACCACCUACACCUGCGGGAGCAGAAGUGUGAGCGAAGAUAAGAUUACAGAACAGAUCUUCACCCAGGAAAAACCCCCGAGUUUGUUCAUUAAAAUUCACUGUUUGCAUUAAACACUGGGGUCUGUGG
Molecule: long non-coding RNA, 3023 nt
Organism: Anas platyrhynchos (mallard)
Lineage: Eukaryota; Metazoa; Chordata; Aves; Anseriformes; Anatidae
Source: RefSeq, a predicted model, not a curated record